GGUAAGUAAUAGCAAACUUGUCGAAAGGCAAGGACGCAAAGCCACGGGCCUGUCGUGCUGAUGAACGCGUGUUCUCAGACCACUAUGGCAGCCGGGUUUCCGGU
This 104-nucleotide non-coding RNA is filed under the name Paenalicyclobacillus ferrooxydans. RNAcentral describes it as "Alicyclobacillus ferrooxydans c-di-GMP sequence". It matches the Rfam family "c-di-GMP-I riboswitch aptamer". Rfam says of the family: GEMM was predicted in a large-scale screen for bacterial structured RNA regulatory elements. Genes associated with GEMM are involved in a diverse array of functions, including chemotaxis regulation, signal transduction, secretion and chitin. The record is from Rfam by way of RNAcentral. Lineage: Bacteria; Bacillati; Bacillota; Bacilli; Caryophanales; Alicyclobacillaceae.